CUACGGGAGGCAGCAGUGGGGAAUAUUGCACAAUGGGCGAAAGCCUGAUGCAGCGACGCCGCGUGAGGGAUGACGGCCUUCGGGUUGUAAACCUCUUUCGACAGGGACGAAGCGCAAGUGACGGUACCUGUAGAAGAAGCACCGGCCAACUACGUGCCAGCAGCCGCGGUAAUACGUAGGGUGCGAGCGUUGUCCGGAAUUACUGGGCGUAAAGAGCUUGUAGGCGGUUCGUCGCGUCGUUCGUGAAAACUUGGGGCUCAACCCCAAGCUUGCGGGCGAUACGGGCGGACUAGAGUACUUCAGGGGAGACUGGAAUUCCUGGUGUAGCGGUGAAAUGCGCAGAUAUCAGGAGGAACACCGGUGGCGAAGGCGGGUCUCUGGGAAGUAACUGACGCUGAGAAGCGAAAGCGUGGGUAGCGAACAGGAUUAGAUACCCUGGUAGUCCACGCCGUAAACGGUGGGUACUAGGUGUGGGUUUCCUUCCACGGGAUCCGUGCCGUAGCUAACGCAUUAAGUACCCCGCCUGGGGAGUACGGCCGCAAGGCUAAAACUCAAAGGAAUUGACGGGGGCCCGCACAAGCGGCGGAGCAUGUGGAUUAAUUCGAUGCAACGCGAAGAACCUUACCUGGGUUUGACAUACACCGGAAACCUGCAGAGAUGUAGGCCCCCUUGUGGUCGGUGUACAGGUGGUGCAUGGCUGUCGUCAGCUCGUGUCGUGAGAUGUUGGGUUAAGUCCCGCAACGAGCGCAACCCUUAUCUUAUGUUGCCAGCGCGUAAUGGCGGGGACUCGUGAGAGACUGCCGGGGUCAACUCGGAGGAAGGUGGGGACGACGUCAAGUCAUCAUGCCCCUUAUGUCCAGGGCUUCACACAUGCUACAAUGGCCGGUACAGAGGGCUGCGAUACCGUGAGGUGGAGCGAAUCCCUUAAAGCCGGUCUCAGUUCGGAUCGGGGUCUGCAACUCGACCCCGUG
This 971-nucleotide ribosomal RNA is filed under the name Nocardia sp. Its description in RNAcentral is "bacterial SSU rRNA". It matches the Rfam family "Bacterial small subunit ribosomal RNA", at positions 339 to 1322 of the family's 1533-position model. Lineage: Bacteria; Bacillati; Actinomycetota; Actinomycetes; Mycobacteriales; Nocardiaceae. The record is from RNAcentral.